CAGCAGUUGGCAUGCGUGGCAAUACCCGCUACACUGCAUCCAGAUCAAGCGCAUGGCAACGGAAGAGGGGUGAGAAUCCCCCGCGAUCGCGUCACUGUGAUCGGAUAUGCGCCCGCACAAGGCCACUGGGAAACCGGGAAGGCGCGGGCGAUGACAUCCGUCAGCCAGGAUAUGUUGCCAUGCGGUUAGCCAUUU
Spirochaeta africana DSM 8902 is the source of this 195-nucleotide non-coding RNA. NCBI's taxonomy places the organism in Bacteria, Pseudomonadati, Spirochaetota, Spirochaetia, Spirochaetales, Spirochaetaceae. The record is from Rfam.